GACGAACGCUGGCGGCGUGCUUAACACAUGCAAGUCGAGCGGUAAGGCCCUUUCGGGGGUACACGAGCGGCGAACGGGUGAGUAACACGUGGGUGACCUGCCUUCAGCUCUGGGAUAAGCCUGGGAAACUGGGUCUAAUACCGGAUAUGACUCCAUGAUGCAUGUUGUGGGGUGGAAAGCUUUUGCGGCUGGAGAUGGGCCCGCGGCCUAUCAGCUUGUUGGUGGGGUGANGGCCUACCAAGGCGACGACGGGUAGCCGGCCUGAGAGGCGACCGGCCACACUGGGACUGAGACACGGCCCAGACUCCUACGGGAGGCAGCAGGUGGGGAAUCUUGCGCAAUGGGCGAAAGCCUGACGCAGCGACGCCGCGUGAGGGAUGACGGCCUGG
RNAcentral lists this ribosomal RNA (389 nucleotides) under uncultured bacterium. Its description in RNAcentral is "bacterial SSU rRNA". It matches the Rfam family "Bacterial small subunit ribosomal RNA", at positions 28 to 419 of the family's 1533-position model. The record is from RNAcentral.